AAAAAUAAAAAGAAGAAGAAGAAGAAAAAAGACAACCCAAAUGAAUUGUGGAGAAGAGUUGGGGUUAGGGUAGAAGAUGUUGAAAAAAAUGCUUCUAGCGCGAUUUUUUUAUUUUUUAAUAAUAGAUGUUUGUUUUAGUCAUUUAGCUUACCUAUAAAAUCUCAAUAGAAACAUAAAAUAAUUGAGGUGUGUAUUAAGAGAUUAGGGGUGUGUAUUUAAAAUUUCUCUU
Molecule: long non-coding RNA, 229 nt
Filed under: Fragaria vesca (wild strawberry)
Lineage: Eukaryota; Viridiplantae; Streptophyta; Magnoliopsida; Rosales; Rosaceae
Description: long non-coding RNA (FVES_LNC004412)
Source: RNAcentral